Triticum aestivum (bread wheat) is the source of this 135-nucleotide non-coding RNA. The record is from Rfam. NCBI's taxonomy places the organism in Eukaryota, Viridiplantae, Streptophyta, Magnoliopsida, Poales, Poaceae.
GUAGUAUUCCCUCCGUCCCAAAAUUAUUGUCUUACAUUUGUUUAGAUACAGAUGUAUCUAACACUAAAAUGUAACUAGAUACAUCCGUAUUUAGACAAAUUUCAGACAAGAAUUUUGGGACGGAGGGAGUACAAA